This 252-nucleotide ribosomal RNA is filed under the name uncultured bacterium. RNAcentral describes it as "partial 16S ribosomal RNA". It matches the Rfam family "Bacterial small subunit ribosomal RNA", at positions 524 to 776 of the family's 1533-position model. The record is from RNAcentral.
UACGUAGGGGGCAAGCGUUGUCCGGAAUUAUUGGGCGUAAAGCGCGCGCAGGCGGCUGAGUAAAUCUCGUGUUUAAUCCCGGAGCUCAACUCCGGGUCGCACGUGAAACUGCUUAGCUUGAGUGCAAAAGAGGAGAGCGGAAUUCCACGUGUAGCGGUGAAAUGCGUAGAGAUGUGGAGGAACACCAGUGGCGAAGGCGGCUCUCUGGUUUGUAACUGACGCUGAGGCGCGAAAGCGUGGGUAGCGAACAGG